GCUGACUCCAGCAGCACACACCAAACUGAAAUAAGAUCAAUAUCAUCCCUGCACAAGGAUGACAGGCAAAUUCGUGAAGCAUUCAAUAUUUAC
RNAcentral lists this small nuclear RNA (93 nucleotides) under Otolemur garnettii (small-eared galago). Lineage: Eukaryota; Metazoa; Chordata; Mammalia; Primates; Galagidae. The record is from RNAcentral.